This 75-nucleotide transfer RNA is filed under the name Mycobacterium intracellulare subsp. intracellulare MTCC 9506. RNAcentral's name for it is "tRNA-Val". It matches the Rfam family "tRNA". Rfam says of the family: Transfer RNA (tRNA) molecules are approximately 80 nucleotides in length. Their secondary structure includes four short double-helical elements and three loops (D, anti-codon, and T loops). Further hydrogen bonds mediate the characteristic L-shaped molecular structure. tRNAs have two regions of fundamental functional importance: the anti-codon, which is responsible for specific mRNA codon recognition, and the 3' end, to which the tRNAs corresponding amino acid is attached (by aminoacyl-tRNA synthetases). tRNAs cope with the degeneracy of the genetic code in two manners: having more than one tRNA (with a specific anti-codon) for a particular amino acid; and 'wobble' base-pairing, i.e. permitting non-standard base-pairing at the 3rd anti-codon position. The record is from RNAcentral. Lineage: Bacteria; Bacillati; Actinomycetota; Actinomycetes; Mycobacteriales; Mycobacteriaceae.
CGCGAUUAGCUCAGCGGGAGAGCGCUUCCCUGACACGGAAGAGGUCACUGGUUCAAUCCCAGUAUCGCGCACCAA